AUUGAACGCUGGCGGCAUGCCUUACACAUGCAAGUCGAACGGUAACAGGUCUUCGGAUGCUGACGAGUGGCGAACGGGUGAGUAAUACAUCGGAACGUGCCCGAUCGUGGGGGAUAACGGAGCGAAAGCUUUGCUAAUACCGCAUACGAUCUACGGAUGAAAGCAGGGGACCGCAAGGCCUUGCGCGGACGGAGCGGCCGAUGGCAGAUUAGGUAGUUGGUGGGAUAAAAGCUUACCAAGCCGACGAUCUGUAGCUGGUCUGAGAGGACGACCAGCCACACUGGGACUGAGACACGGCCCAGACUCCUACGGGAGGCAGCAGUGGGGAAUUUUGGACAAUGGGCGAAAGCCUGAUCCAGCCAUGCCGCGUGCAGGAUGAAGGCCUUCGGGUUGUAAACUGCUUUUGUACGGAACGAAAAGCCUCUUUCUAAUAAAGAGAGGUCAUGACGGUACCGUAAGAAUAAGCACCGGCUAACUACGUGCCAGCAGCCGCGGUAAUACGUAGGGUGCGAGCGUUAAUCGGAAUUACUGGGCGUAAAGCGUGCGCAGGCGGUGAUGUAAGACAGAUGUGAAAUCCCCGGGCUCAACCUGGGAACUGCAUUUGUGACUGCAUCGCUGGAGUGCGGCAGAGGGGGAUGGAAUUCCGCGU
RNAcentral lists this ribosomal RNA (649 nucleotides) under Acidovorax sp. AIR-SC-I-15. RNAcentral's name for it is "bacterial SSU rRNA". It matches the Rfam family "Bacterial small subunit ribosomal RNA", at positions 28 to 674 of the family's 1533-position model. The record is from RNAcentral. Lineage: Bacteria; Pseudomonadati; Pseudomonadota; Betaproteobacteria; Burkholderiales; Comamonadaceae.